Molecule: ribosomal RNA, 433 nt
Filed under: uncultured bacterium
Lineage: Bacteria
Description: partial 16S ribosomal RNA
Rfam family: Bacterial small subunit ribosomal RNA
Source: RNAcentral
AACGAACGCUGGCGGCAUGCCUAACACAUGCAAGUCGAACGAGACCUUCGGGUCUAGUGGCGCACGGGUGCGUAACGCGUGGGAACCUGCCCUUAGGUUCGGAAUAACUCCCCGAAAGGGGUGCUAAUACCGGAUAAUGUCUUCGGACCAAAGAUUUAUCGCCUUUGGAUGGGCCCGCGUUGGAUUAGCUAGUUGGUAGGGUAAAAGCCUACCAAGGCGACGAUCCAUAGCUGGUCUGAGAGGAUGAUCAGCCACACUGGGACUGAGACACGGCCCAGACUCCUACGGGAGGCAGCAGUAGGGAAUAUUAGACAAUGGGCGAAAGCCUGAUCCAGCAAUGCCGCGUGAGUGAUGAAGGCCUUAGGGUUGUAAAGCUCUUUUACCCGGGAUGAUAAUGACAGUACCGGGAGAAUAAGCACCGGCUAACUCCGUG